UAAGCUGAACGCACAUAUAGACAAGAGUUCAUGCCUUAAAUACUUAUACACAAAUAUUUGCAAAAUUGUUACUGGCACAACAUGACUCAGCUCUCUUGAAAUAAUUGAACCAUCUGAUUUAUACCACUAAUUUUCAUUCACUGUGCUGUAAACUCCUGGAAGCUGACCCUGUUCAAAAGAAUGUGAUAUAGAAAACAGAUUAAUUUUUUUUUUUUUUUCCCCUGCAGGGAAGGUACCCCACUGAAAAGAAUAUCAAACUUAAAACACUGCAAAUCUCUAUGAGAGUUCUGCAGUUCCACACAGCCAAGUUUUCCUUUGGCUUUAUGGACACGCUAGGUACCACUCGACUUUGCUGGUAUGUGUAUUCAUUUAUAUUCAUGCAGACAGUGCUGAUCUCAUUAGAAAUAAUAGCAUGUGCUGCUGGUCAUCCACGCAUGCUGCGAGUGGCCGCUACCAUACCAGCAUGUGGGGGGAAUCCUUUGGUCUAACUGGUUUGCUCGCUUGCAGCCUCCACGCAGGGGCUCCAGAGGUGGAGAAGCAUACGGCGAGGAGCCGAGGGGGACAACGUCUGCUGCCCACCCUGGCACUGCUCUGCGGGGCAGCUUCUGGACAAGGUCAGAGCAUAGGCAUCAGACUUUGGGGUGAAACCAACAUCGGAAAGGUACUCCAGGAGGACAAUUCCUGUGCUCCAGCCCGUCGGCACAUGGGACCAGACUGAAAAACCCAACCACACGUACAAUAUGGAUGUGAGGUCCUCAUUACCAGCUGUAGAUCUGCUCCCGUUUGGCUGUUUAGCUUUCUAAUGUAGAUACAGCCAUCUGACACCCAGAAUCCAUCAGCAGGGAGAAAAUGGAAGAGGCUAUAAGAACAAAAACUUGCAGUGGUUGAAGGUGUUAAACUGGAUCCAUAACGAGAAGAACAAAUUGAUUAAGCAACACACCAGUUAUGGAAAAGACUCAAAAAUAGCACCAAAGAGAGGACAGGGCAAUACUGUGAAUUUCAACUCUUUGAUGAACCAUCAUUCAAGAUAAUGACAGUUUCGGUGGAGAGACGAUGGGAGCUGGGAUAUAUUUUACUUAAGUAUAGCCAGCUCAUUAAUUCAUGCUGUACAGAAGCCAUGAAGGAGGGAAAAUACACUCUUGCCUCACCAGUGAAGUAAAUGGAUUAAUGUAGGCAGCAGCAUACGGCCAGGGUUCUCCGAGAGGUGACAGCACUUCCUCUGCAAAGGACUGCCAAGUAACAAGCUGUUCAUGAAUGCAUCUUUAGGGGUAUGGACUGUUCCCCACCAGGGACGGCAUGAAUACAUGGACACCCUGGAUUUUGUUCAACCACUUAGACCAAGGCACUUGCUGUCGCCUGUCUCUUGCUCCCUGGUACCAGCCAUGAGGCAGCACCGACGAACUCUUUUCAAAGUCUCACGGUUUGGGUCUGUUCAGGAAAAAAAGUGCCUAUUGCCACUUCACCUGAUAUGCUGGAGGGCUCUAAAAAUAAGACAUGGAAAAAGCAAUUGCCAUAGCUCCUGUCCUGGCGCUUCUGUAGACGUUGGCUUUUCCAUUCGUCCAGGUUAGACUACUGCCACUUCACAGUGCACUUCAUCUACCAGAAUGAGAUUGGUGCCAUUUAUAUGUGUCUUCUAUAUUUAUGUUUGUUAUUUUUAUAUUUUGGAAAUCUUAUCCCCUAUGAUUUUUGCUUUUGCUUGACUGGCCCCACUUGCAUGGUAACUCUCUUCCAUUAUUUCCCAUCGUGAUUCAGAGUGGGUGUUUGAUUAGCCAGAAGCUGGGAGGCUACACAAGGUGGGAGACCCAAGAUCUCCCUAGAACCCUGCAGCUGGCUGGGUGACCUGAGGAAGGUUCCUCUCUCAGCCCGACAUCCUUUUAUAGUCGUAGAGAUAAUAAUAGAGAUUGGCCUCUCGUAUUUAAAAGGGCUCCGGACUCUCCACUGGAAGGUGGUCCUGCUUUCUGCAGUGUAUCUGUGUGUCCUCUCUCUGGUGUAUCCCUUACCGUGAUAUUAAAGGGGUUUCAUUGCAAAGAAGUGGGCUUUCCUUUUGUUUGUUUUGGUUUUAAGAUCAGAAUGAUACUUUUUUCAGUUUAUCACAAAAACAGUCAAUCAGCAAAAGGUUAUAGAUGUUAUCUCUUGCUCCAAAAGAAGAAAUGUUGUCUGCUGCGAUUCACACACUCUAUUAAUGAAAAAGUGUAGGCAGACCUUGGAGAUACAGGAGCCAUGUGUAAUCAGCAGAAAAAUCUGUCCUGCUCAGCCAAAUUGCCUCAUGAGAAUACAAAUGCCAAAAUGCUGUGAGUUUCGUGAAGUUGGGGCCUCCUGGUAGCACACAGUAUUUCUUCGUUUGUGGGCAAUUGAGGCGACGCUUCAGCAAAGCAGGGACUCAAAUCACAGCACCUCCCUGCUAUGCACAGGUUCACCAGAGAUGUCUGAUCCAGCCAAAAUGUGCAUAAUCAGCCUGGGACACAAGAUGAAUAGUUGUGAUGGAAGCUGAAUCUUUCAUUUGCUCUUUAUAUUUUCUGCCUUUUCUUUGGGUUUGUUUUCCUCUCUUUUCUUCCUUUGCAAUUGUCAAGGAAGCAUCUGUGAGUUUUAUUAAACAAAUGUUACACAUUAAAACCCCAUUGCUGCCUGCCAGAAAGGAAAAUGGCAUCUUAUUUGAAAACAAUAUGUAAUUGUUAUUGCUGUCUUGUUGCAAGUUACGCCCUUGAAAAAUGGUAGGGACUUAUUUAGUAGCAACUGAUGCUGAGGAAAAGUAUUAUAACUAAAGCAGAAAAUUAACUGUUGCGUUAUCUUUGGGAAAUACAAUACACAGUUUCAAAC
Aquila chrysaetos chrysaetos is the source of this 2817-nucleotide long non-coding RNA. RefSeq lists it as uncharacterized. The transcript has 7 exons. The record is from RefSeq and is a predicted model, not a curated record. NCBI's taxonomy places the organism in Eukaryota, Metazoa, Chordata, Aves, Accipitriformes, Accipitridae.